AGAGUUUGAUCCUGGCUCAGGACGAACGCUGGCGGCGCGCUUAACACAUGCAAGUCGAGCGAGAACCAGCCCUUCGGGGCUGGGGAAAGCGGCGAACGGGUGAGUAACACGUGGGUAAUCUGCCCUCGGCACUGGGAUAGCCCGGGGAAACCCGGAUUAAUACCGGAUGGCCUUUCGAGUCCUCGGACUCGUCAGAAAAGGUGGCUUCGGCUUCCGGCUGAGGAUGAGCCCGCGGCGGAUUAGCUUGUUGGUGGGGUAACGGCCCACCAAGGCGACGAUCCGUAGCUGGUCUGAGAGGACGAUCAGCCACACUGGGACUGAGACACGGCCCAGACUCCUACGGGAGGCAGCAGUGGGGAAUCUUGCGCAAUGGGCGAAAGCCUGACGCAGCGACACCGCGUGCGGGAAGAAGGCCUUCGGGUUGUAAACCGCUUCCAGGAGGGACGAAGCCACUCGGGUUAAUAGCCCAGAGGGUGACGGUACCUCCAGAAGAAGCCCCGGCUAACUACGUGCCAGCAGCCGCGGUAAUACGUAGGGGGCAAGCGUUGUCCGGAUUUAUUGGGCGUAAAGAGCGUGUAGGCGGCCAGGUAGGUCCGCUGUGAAAACUCGAGGCUCAACCUCGAGAUGUCGGCGGAAACCAUCUGGCUAGAGUCCGGAAGAGGAGAAUGGAAUUCCCGGUGUAGCGGUGAAAUGCGCAGAUAUCGGGAAGAACACCCGUGGCGAAAGCGGUUCUCUGGGACGGUACUGACGCUGAGACGCGAAAGCGUGGGGAGCGAACAGGAUUAGAUACCCCCGUAGUC
RNAcentral lists this ribosomal RNA (800 nucleotides) under uncultured bacterium. RNAcentral describes it as "bacterial SSU rRNA". It matches the Rfam family "Bacterial small subunit ribosomal RNA", at positions 8 to 795 of the family's 1533-position model. The record is from RNAcentral.